This 96-nucleotide vault RNA is filed under the name Propithecus coquereli (Coquerel's sifaka). RNAcentral describes it as "Vault RNA (ENSPCOG00000002876.1)". It matches the Rfam family "Vault RNA". Rfam says of the family: This family of RNAs are found as part of the enigmatic vault ribonucleoprotein complex. The complex consists of a major vault protein (MVP), two minor vault proteins (VPARP and TEP1), and several small untranslated RNA molecules. Lineage: Eukaryota; Metazoa; Chordata; Mammalia; Primates; Indriidae. The record is from Rfam by way of RNAcentral.
GGAUCGGCAUUAGCUCAAGCUUCCUCACAUUGGACUUUCCAUCCAUCUAAUCCCUGCGCUGGGGUUUGAGACCCAUGGGUGCUUUCUGACCCUUUA